CUAACGGCUGAACCAGCAACUUGGAAGAAUGUAUAGCAAUUGCUAAUUGUUUCUCCUUUAAAUGGAACAAUAUCGAUUUGAUCGAAUAAAAUUCUGGGUAAAAUUAUGAUAAUGACAUUGUUUACUCAUGAGUCUUGACCAAGUUACGUGCCAGCAGUCGCGGUAAUACGUAGAAGACAAGUGUUAUUCAUCUUUAAUGGGUUUAAAGGGUACCUAGACGGUGUAUUAAGCCUCAAAAGGAACUGAUAUACUAGAGUUACUUAUGAGGAAGUUCUAAAGUACUAGAGGAGUAGAGAUAAAAUUCAAUAAUACCUUUUUUUUAUAAAAAACUUCGGCACAGGUAUAGGUGAAAACAUCUUCUUAUGGGAUAACUGACGUUGAGGGACGAAGGCUUUUAAUCGUGAACAGGAUUAGAGACCCUGGUAAUGGAAGCAGAAAACGCUGAGUGUCAUAGAUUAGAUAAAUAUUUACUCUAUAAAUGAAAGUGUAAGCACUCCACCUCAAGAGUAAUUUGGCAACAUUGGAACUGAAAUCAUUAGACCGUAUUUGAAACCAGUAGUGAUGUAUGUUAUUUAAUUUGAUAAUCCGCAAAAAACCUUACCACAACUUGAAUGCCUAUAUAUUUAUUUUUAUUAUAUUUUUGUGUGUAGUUUUUUGUAUAACUUAAACUACACAUUAUACAAUAAUAUCAUAAGGUAAAAUCAUAGGUACAAGUGUUGCACGGCUGUCUACAGUUAAUGUCGUCAGACUAUGGUUAGUUCCAUUAAAUUAACGUAAACCCUUGCUCUAUUUUUAAAUAGAGUAGUUCUCCACUAUAUUGGAUAAGAUAACA
RNAcentral lists this ribosomal RNA (832 nucleotides) under Micarea micrococca. RNAcentral's name for it is "SSU rRNA". It matches the Rfam family "Bacterial small subunit ribosomal RNA", at positions 376 to 1150 of the family's 1533-position model. Lineage: Eukaryota; Fungi; Ascomycota; Lecanoromycetes; Lecanorales; Micareaceae. The record is from RNAcentral.